GACGUACGCUGGCGGCGUGCCUAAUACAUGCAAGUCGAACGAAGCUGUUUUAACUGGUACUUGCACCGACUUAAACAACUGAGUGGCGAACGGGUGAGUAACAUGUGGGUAACCAUCACCAAAGCGGGGGAUAACAUUAGGAAAAAGAUGCUAAUAGCACAUAAGCACAGAAAGCACAUGGAUUCUGUUUCGAAGGUGGUUGCGUAUAGCAAUUUGGGAUGGAUCCGCGGCGUAUUAGCUAGUUGUUAAGGUAAUGUCUUACCAAGGCAAUGAUACGUAGGCGAACUGAGAGGUUGAUCUGCCACAUUGGGACUGAGACACGGCCCAGACUCCUACGGGAGGCAGCAGAGGGAAUCUUCCACAAUGGACGAAAGUCUGAUUGAGCAACGCCGCGUGAGGGAAGAAGGUUUUCGGAUCGUAAAACUCUGUUGUCAGAGAAGAACGUGUGCGAGAGUAACUGUUCGUGCAGUGACGGUAUCUGGCCAGAAAGCCACGGCUAACUACGUGCCAGCAGCCGCGGUAA
RNAcentral lists this ribosomal RNA (523 nucleotides) under uncultured bacterium. Its description in RNAcentral is "partial 16S ribosomal RNA". It matches the Rfam family "Bacterial small subunit ribosomal RNA", at positions 28 to 523 of the family's 1533-position model. The record is from RNAcentral.